GAUGAACGCUGGCGGCGUGCUUAACACAUGCAAGUCGAACGGAAAGGCUCCUGCUUGCAGGGGUACUCGAGUGGCGAACGGGUGAGUAACACGCGGGGGAUCUGCCCUUCACUUCGGGAGAAGCCUGGGAAACUGGGUCUAAUAUCGGAUAGGAUCGCAUUUUGGACGGUGUGGAGGAAAGUUUUUUCGGUUUGGGAUGAGCUAGCGGCCUAUCAGCUUGUUGGUGGAGUAAUGGCCUACGAAGGCGUAGACGGGUAGCCGGCCUGAGAGGGUGUACGGCGACAUUGGGACUGCGAUACGCAGCAGAAUGCUACGGGCGGCAGCAGUGGGGAGUAUUGCGCAAUGGGCGCAAGCCUGAUGCGGCGACGCUGCGUGCGGGAUGACGGCCUUCGAGUUGUAAACAACUUUCGCUGUAGACGAAGAGUAAUUGACGGUACCUGAAGAAGAAGCAACGGCUAACUACGUG
Molecule: ribosomal RNA, 466 nt
Filed under: uncultured bacterium
Lineage: Bacteria
Description: partial 16S ribosomal RNA
Rfam family: Bacterial small subunit ribosomal RNA
Source: RNAcentral